CCUACGGGUGGCAGCAGUGAGGAAUAUUGGUCAAUGGCCGGAAGCCUGAACCAGCCAUGCCGCGUGAAGGUCAGUGCCCUAUGGGCGUUAAACUUCUUUUGUGCGGGAGCAAUAAUGGUCACGUGUGGCCAGACGAUAGUACCGUACUAAUAAGCAUCGGCUAACACCGUGCCAGCAGCCGCGGUAAUACGGGGGAUGCAAGCGUUAUCCGGAGUUAUUGGGUUUAAAGGGUGCGUAGGCUGGGAGGUAAGUCAGCGGUGAAAUGCCCCCGCUCAACGGGGAGAAGUGCCAUUGAUACUGGCUGGCUGGAAUGCGGAUGCGGUGGGAGGAAUGUGUGGUGUAGCGGUGAAAUGCAUAGAUAUCACACAGAACACCGAUUGCGAAGGCAUCUCACGAAUCCGCGAUUGACGCUGAUGCACGAAAGCGUGGGUAUCAAACAGGAUUAGAUACCCCUGUAGUC
Molecule: ribosomal RNA, 460 nt
Filed under: uncultured bacterium
Lineage: Bacteria
Description: partial 16S ribosomal RNA
Rfam family: Bacterial small subunit ribosomal RNA
Source: RNAcentral